This 254-nucleotide ribosomal RNA is filed under the name uncultured bacterium. RNAcentral's name for it is "partial 16S ribosomal RNA". It matches the Rfam family "Bacterial small subunit ribosomal RNA", at positions 524 to 776 of the family's 1533-position model. The record is from RNAcentral.
UACGGGGGGAGCAAGCGUUGUUCGGAUUUACUGGGCGUAAAGGGCGCGUAGGCGGCCACCGCAAGUCGACUGUGAAAUCUCCGGGCUUAACCCGGAAAGGUCAGCCGAUACUGCGGGGCUAGAGUGCAGAAGGGGCAACUGGAAUUCUCGGUGUAGCGGUGAAAUGCGUAGAUAUCGCUUGGAACGCCAAAGGUGAAAACAGGUUGCUGGGGUUGUGCCGACGCUGAGACACGAAAGCCAGGGGAGCAAACGGG